AGUUGAUAUGAGCUGUUAGUUAUGGUGGUGCCAUUACCAAUGACCUGGAAUUUCCAUGACUUAAAGCAAGACUCGAGCAACACGUUUAGCUCUCUUCAAGCCCUCAUUUCCUGCAGCUGGGUGUCUAAACACCUUGUCUGAUCUUUAGGUAACGAUGGCUUUGAGCUCCCCAGCCUCGCUCUGUAAUCACUACAGGAUGCCUGAUCUUCCAAGACCACAUCUGUUGGUGUUCAUUAGAGACAUCUGUGCAUACAGAACUUGAGCCACCACACUCGGCUCUUUGAGAAAGUGUGAGCCACAGAACACAACUCCUCCCUGGCUCUGGAAGUGCAUUUCCUGUAUUUGAAUGCAGAGGGGAGCACAGAGGAACUCAUCCUUGACCCUGUAAACAAAGCUCGCAUUGAAGCAUCUGAGCAAAGACAAGAGGUUGCUUUCAUAAAAUACUUAUCAUAGAUGGCCAUGGACCAAAAUAGUGACUACUUUGAUUGCUUACCCACACAUGCCAAUAUUUGAAAGUCACCUUUGUUCAGCUAUAUAAAACAAACAUUUUUCCAAGUGAAAAACACUCAGACAUGUUUUCACAGCUGUUUGCAUGCUUGUCCUUUAAAUACUGUGAACGGAUCCAAAUAAUAGUAUUCUGGUGUCAGAGGUUUUGUUUGUUAUUGUUGACAGGUCCUAUACAGUCUUCUCUGUAGCUGCUUAUGAAAUGUCAAACACUAUAACAUGACUCGACAUACACAUGACUGUUCAAAUCGGCUUUAUCCAUUGCGAUGGAGAAGGAGCCUGUACUGUGGGAGAAGACAGGAGAACCCAGAUGAAACUCUGCUUGUGAAAUCAUGUGCAACAUCGAACCUAUUGUGCCCAUUAACCAUAGAAAUUAUUUCCUGCAGUAUUGAGGAGGAAAAAAGGGGGCAUGGCCAUCCAUAUGUAAUGCUACAUGUGCAGGUUAUGUCAUUACAGCUCAUCACAAUUUGUCUGUAGCUGCAAUUGCUCACUUUAAUGUUUUGUCCGUUUAAAUAUGUAUGCAUAUGUCAAGAGAUUGGCAAUAAUAAUACUUAUUAAAUUCUUAAUUUGGCAGAAAAGUCCUGAUAAAUAUGACAUUUUAUUUUCUUCAUUUAAAACCCCAUUCUUGUUUUGGGUGUAAAUACAUCCAAGUCUCUAUCUGUUUGGUGAGCUAAAAUGCACCAAAGAAAGAUGGUUUGUUGCUCUGCUCUGAAGUCAGAAUAACAGCAAGAUAUUCUGUGCACAGUAUUCUAAAUAGACAAAAAGGUAACUAAUAUUAAGAUAUAUAAAAUAAUAUCUUAACGUCAAAGACACCAGAAUUAAGAGACUCAGGAUUAAGGUAUUAAAACUGCAUGUGGUACCACUGUGUUGCUGAUGAUCUCAAACAAACUUUUUAGAGUUAAAAAUUAUUUUCGGGCACCUUAUUGUUACAACAAUGUCACAGACAUGGAAUGCUCUCUCUCCCUUGUCAACCACAGCAAGUCAAGCCAAUCUCGGGUAUCUGUGAGCUUAUGUAUUUGAAAGAGGGCAGUGAUUUCCUCUGAGUGGGUUAUGCUGCCCUGGGAGGAAACAGGAGUUCACCUGUGGGUAGGAUUUGGCAGGGGAGAAAAAUAAAAAAUAUAUUGGUGUGAAUUAAAAAAUUGUAUGUCUGUAGA
Tachysurus vachellii is the source of this 1658-nucleotide long non-coding RNA. RefSeq lists it as uncharacterized. The record is from RefSeq and is a predicted model, not a curated record. Lineage: Eukaryota; Metazoa; Chordata; Actinopteri; Siluriformes; Bagridae. The transcript has 3 exons.